RNAcentral lists this long non-coding RNA (984 nucleotides) under Citrus x clementina. Its description in RNAcentral is "Citrus clementina (C. clementina) long non-coding RNA (CCLE_LNC002067)". Lineage: Eukaryota; Viridiplantae; Streptophyta; Magnoliopsida; Sapindales; Rutaceae. The record is from RNAcentral.
AGAGUACUGGAAGCACAACAAAUGGCUGCAAAACAAGCAUUUUGUGCGCUGUCAAGUGGCAUUGUUGCCAAUGUUUGGAAUUUAUUAAAUUUUCAUGUUUUCCGGCGGGCUUUAUGCUAGAGAAUACAUGAUGGCUUGCUGGUUAGUAAGUUAAAAUGAAGAGUCAAGUUCGCUGCUGCCUCCAGCAUUGUAGAACUUCUUAAUUCAUAGCAUCUGAUGCAUCUUAGAUUUUCAAGCAUAGGAGCUUGAUAUAUCAAGUUAUUUUUAUCAAUAUUUUAAGUUGUUCAAGCCAUUCUUUCCAACUCUCUACAUCCUGUACUCAAGUUUCUUCACUCAUUUUUCCUAGAACACAAACUAGAUAGCUUUCAAUGGACAAAGUACUUAUCCAUUAAAUUGAAACUACAGACGGAUGGAUAUUGAAAUCAAAAGAUAGACAUGCUAGCAAAAGUUAGAUAACAUGUCCUGAUUAUUAAAAGCAACAGUUUUUCCAUUUACCUUUUGUUUUCAUCCUUAAUGAUUGAUGAUAUAAUGAAACUUUUAGGUGCAUUGUACCUUACUGCAAUUGCAUGGUGGUGAUCAAUUUUGAGUCUACCUGUUUCCUGAAUUUACUCCAAAAAGCUGAAAGCUGAAAUGCUGGACAUUGAUAAAAUUAAUUGAACCUUGGAAAAUGCCAAAGGUAAUUGAUUUAGUAUUUUUCUUUUCUCUUUUUAAAGGUAUGUACACUUGAACCACUUGGAACCCUUCAGCUUUUGUUAUAACUCAGUUUCAUUUGAACAAGUUGUACACCUACAAGGUAUAGCCAAGGGACCAUAUCAGUCGGGAAUAUACACCAUAUGCUUGGUCUAGCUGCUGCUGUAAAACUGAACUGGUCUAAAUAAUCUGCCUUUAUGAUAAAUCUCCUGCCAGUUUUGCCGACAACUGCUAGAUGAAUAGGAGGGACAUUCAUAGGCAGUUUUUUCUUCCCACCUCCAAGUUUGUUUCACG